UCUAUCCUAGAGUUCCGGGACCCCAA
RNAcentral lists this non-coding RNA (26 nucleotides) under Homo sapiens (human). Lineage: Eukaryota; Metazoa; Chordata; Mammalia; Primates; Hominidae. The record is from RNAcentral.